Homo sapiens (human) is the source of this 2811-nucleotide long non-coding RNA. RefSeq lists it as uncharacterized. The transcript is spliced from 5 exons. Lineage: Eukaryota; Metazoa; Chordata; Mammalia; Primates; Hominidae. The record is from RefSeq and is a predicted model, not a curated record.
CCCGGGUACUUGAAGGCCGCCGGGCUCCGCCUUCACCACGUGGGCCCUGAGUUCCUCCGCGGCGCCUUCGUGGGCGACACGCGAUUCCUGAGCUUCCACAGCCGCGGCGAGAAUCAGAGCGUGAAGCGCGGGUGGAGAAGAUGGCACAGGGCUGUGGGCGCCCUGAGGAAAGUUCUCGAAGACCGCAGGGAAUGUGUUACUGAGGGGCCUGAGGUUCCUGGGCCCGCACCACCACCAGGGUCAGCCGGUGAGUGACCUCAGACUCCGGGCACAGGUGUGCCCCGCCCCGACCCCAGAGUGACCAGCCCGGUUCUCCCAGGGAUGGGGGGGCGGGGCCUCAGCUGAUCCCUCUCAGGUGGGGAAGCGCUGGGGCCAUUUUGCUCCAGGUUUCUCCUUCAAUCUGGAUCAUGACUGACUUGUUCUGUGACCAAUGACAGAGGGAGGAAGGAGCUGGGGUGGGCGGGGCGACCUCCCUCCCCUCCCUGGCCCCGCCUCCGGCUCACCCUGGGGCAGGUCCAGGGCACCGCACCUGCAGAUGCUGCUGUCUGGCUGGGUGGUGGCUCCGGACAGGAGCUUCCUCGAAGGACACUUUAAGUCCGCCUACGACAAGGAGAUUUCAUGUCCCUGAACGAGGACCUGCAGACCUGGACAGCGGCUCAAAGAGCGGCUUGGAGGAUCCAUCACACCUGGGAGAGGUUCUGGACCGCGGAGGCCACAAGGGAAGCCCCGAUGGGUCACUGCACUAGGUGGCUGCUCAGACACCUGGAGCAUGGCAAGGAGAUGAUGCUGCCGGCAGAAGAUAAAACACCAGGAAACGGAAUCGGCAGAGACACAGUAGAUGAAAGUACCACGAAGGACUGCUAGGUUCUAAUAGAAAGUAGCAGAUAGCCCCGUGGAGAUUCCUGCUGUGCAGCAAAGCCUGGGAGGGGCCCUUGGCUGUGGAAGGCAGGCUGAGACGUCAUAGGAACUUCCUUCUCUGGGAUCCCAAACUCCUAGACCAGCUGAGUACGUUGAGGGGAUGGGAAGCACCAACACCCCACGCGGGUUACCGGAAGUGCUGGUUCUGGAGAAUAUAGCAAUCUCGCAGCAGGAUUCUGAGAACCUCCCAUCCAUGCUUCAAGCUGAAGUCUUCAGUAUAUGCUUCCCUGACCUCCCUACUGCAGCUUCCAGGAGCUCCAAUGGUGACUGGUAUUAUUAUAGUAUCCUGCUGCUGCUAUAACAAAUUACCACAACUAUGUGGCUUAAAACAACACCAAUGUAUUCUCUUAUAGUUCUGGAGGUAAGAAGUCAAAAAUGUGUCACUAUGGGCUAAAAUUAACAUGUCGUCAGAGCUGCAUUUCUUCUGAGGCUCUAAAGGAAAAUCUGUUUCCUCACCCUUUCCAGCUUCUUGGGGCUGCCUGCAUUCUUUGGCUUGUGGUCUCUUCCUCCAUCUUCCAAGUCAGCAGUCACAUCACUUUGACCUCUGAUUCUGUUGUCACAGCUCUAACUCUGAUGCUGCUUUCUACUCCUUUCACUUAUAAGGACUAUUGUGAUUACAUCGAACCUGCCCAGAUAAUCCAGGAUAAUCUUCCCAUCUCAAGAGCCUCAGCUUAAUCACAUCUGAAAAUUUCCUUUUGCCCUAUUAGGAGACAUUUUUAUAAGUUCCAGGGAUUAGGACACAGACAUAUUUAGGAGACUGUUAUUCUGCCUGUCACAUGACUUCACCAAUAUUUGCUACCCGUGGUUUCCAAACAUUAGUGUAUGCUCUUAUUUCUAUUUAUUCCUGAAAUACCAGAGUGAGUCUGUUUUUCUGAAAACAGCUCACUAAUGCCCAGAGGAGCUCAAAAAUUUUCUGUCUGUUGUCUCAAAGUCUCCAAAUUGUACUGAUUCUUCAACGUGCAUGGCUGUAAAUUAGGCAAUAAUCUUGCUGGGGUGUUGGAAGGAAAAGAAAGGGAAUGAUUAGACAGCCCUUCUGAUUCGGGACAGAAUCUGAUUCGGGACACUGUCCCUGAUGGCUGGCCAUCUUGGGCUGUAAUCCAGUUUCCCUCCCACGUAGACCCGGUCAUUUCUGACUCCCCAAGAGGUUUUCACAGUAUUCAUGUCCACUUCCUUCAUCAGUCAUCUUCUUGUCUUAUAUCUCCAUGUUUACAUUUUUCUUCUCUUCUACCACUGUAGUUCUGCCUUGAUUCUUCAGCCAUUGCCUUCCUUUUGCAUGCAUGUGCUUCAGCCAGUUCUCUAGGAAGACAUUCCAGACAGCUCAUUAUCACUUGUUACUAUGUUUAUUUGACUGCAGAGCUUUGAAGAUUUGUAACUUUCUAUUUUUUAAAUUUUAGUGUAAAAAUAAUUCUUGCUCACAGUAGGAAAUGAAACAAUCAAAAUAUGCAUAAAUAUACUUUUAAAUCUCUCCUUUCACUAAAUCCAAACCCACUUAACUAAGGUGAUUACUAUUGUAUCAGCCUACUCUCUGCAUGUCUACUUUCUUCACUUGCACGCAAACCAUAGUGAGUGUUUUUAUCUGGUAGCUUUUGUUGAGCUGUAAUGACUAUAAGUUUUAUAUGUAAUUUAAUCAUUUUCAGGGCAACUUGAGAUAUAAUUUAAAUAGUAUAAAAUCCGCACAUUCAAAAUAUACAAUUCAGUGGCUUUUAGAAUAUUCACAGUUGUGCCUCCAUUACCACAAUCAAUUACAGAUCCUUUUAUCUCCUCCCAGCCCUGCAGAAAAAUCCAUAUCCAAACCCCAGCCCUAAGAAACUACCAACCUAUGUUUUAACUCUACAGAUUUACCUAUUCUGAACAUUUUAUGUAAUGAAAUUAUACAACAUGUGGCUUUUUGUG